UACGUGCUUAAGGUGGACCGGCGCUAGGCAAACGCGGGAGCCCGCGGCAGGGGUGCGCCCAGCCAAACCUCCGCGCGGGGCCGGGCUUGUCCCGCGCUCCCUCUUAGGGAAUUCGGCUCCCUAGCCCCGUGCGCCCGGCUCCUUCCGGAACCUCUGCACGCUGUAGCUCGGCUCUGAGGCGGGUGGCGCUUCUCCGCGGACACAGGGAGGAAAAUGCAUUUCCCGAUUUAGAAAAAGAAAAGGGAACCUGAGGGCUCAGACUGGCAUUACAAUCUCCUCACUUCUGGGAUUUUUCCUGACCUUGACCCGAGACCAGAAGUUCCCAAGAUGGAAAAACUGUGAAAAAUUAAAUAAAUCUGCCUUUCUGCUAAUGAUGCCCAGAAUCUGCAGCCUGCCCUGAGCUCACACUGGAAGUCAGUUGGAAUGUGUCAUGGACCCUAGAGUGGUGUAAGCCGUUGUCGAUUUGAGUGUUUGCCUAACUAUAUGUCUGUGCACCAUGUAUGUUCAGGGCCUACGGAGGAGCAGAAGAGGGUAUCAAGUCCCCCUGGCCUGGAGUUACAGACUGUGAGCUUCCCUGUGGGUGCAGAGAAUCAACUGAUAAAUAAAAACAAA
Non-coding RNA from Myodes glareolus (Bank vole), 612 nucleotides. The record is from RefSeq and is a predicted model, not a curated record. NCBI's taxonomy places the organism in Eukaryota, Metazoa, Chordata, Mammalia, Rodentia, Cricetidae.